Long non-coding RNA from Helianthus annuus (common sunflower), 2416 nucleotides. RefSeq lists it as uncharacterized. The transcript has 5 exons. Lineage: Eukaryota; Viridiplantae; Streptophyta; Magnoliopsida; Asterales; Asteraceae. The record is from RefSeq and is a predicted model, not a curated record.
CUGGCAGAUGCCAGUCUUAAGACUUGAUCUCAGUAUCCCACCACUCUCACGGUUGAAAACACCCAGCCUCCACCACUCUCAUCAUCCUUCUAGGUUUCCAGACACAAUGAAUUCUAGGUCACAAAUUGCGUCUCCAGGUUUCCCUUUGACGAUUUCUUUGAUCUGGUCGUCCAAUUGGCGCUCUUUUUUCUCCGAUAGUCUAUUUGUGUUCCGGUGGUAGCCUACGGUGGUUUUGGCCACUGCUUCUUCUGCGCUUUCGUUUGUUCAGGCUUCUACAGAACUCUUGUACUUUAUUUCCCCUAUGCUAAGCCAAGAAAAACAAAUCUUAACAGUAAGCGUAAAGUAAAACAAGUGGUGUUGCAUCUCUUUGGUUGCUUAGAGAAGAAGAAGAAGCAAAGAUCGAAGGUCAAACCAGGGACUACUUUGAUGGGCUAGCGCCAAAGUGUCACAUUGAAUAAAACUCCGAGGUAAUAGUGUGACUGAUGAGUUUGUAGAGACCAAGAUUACAAAUAUCUUAACGGCAUCGACAAGCAACAUCACACCGUAAAGAAAACGUUGAAUGACUUCCUUCAACAUUAUUGCAGUAUAUUGUAGUUGACUCUUGGAUAUCUAUAAUACUAUAAAAAGGAGAAGUGAUGUACGUAAAUGUAAUUUUACAUUGCAUCCAACUCUUAAAGCAAUAUGUACAAUUAAUAAAAGCUUGUUUUGUAAGGCUAAAAUUGUAAAGAGGCGAAUAUCUUAAGACGCUGCGAGAGUAUAAAAGUAAAUUCAAGGAACAGCCAUACUCACAUGCUCAAAUUCCUUUCCAUCGCUGCCCUUAAAGAAACCUAAUCGACAUUCCUCUGAAUCAAACCGAAGAUUGAAUGCUACGCAAAUGAAACGGUGAAACGGUGGGAAACAAUCAAUCAUGAUUUGAGAUAUAAACAUGCAGAUACAAGAUACAGGGACUCAGGGACGGAUCAUUUUCUCUUUCCCUUCCAAACCUCUGGAUCGCGUCAUCCGAAUUCCACAUCUGCAACCACAAAAGGGCUCUUUAAAGUCACCGUUUCACCCUUUCACUAACCCUAAAAUGACUGGUUCUGAUAUUUAGAUUCUGCGCAGAGAUUAUCUUCCACGGUUUGAAUCAGUUAUUUAAUGAUGAACUUGUACAGGUCAUGGGCAUGCUCGGAUCAAGUCUUUGGGAUGUUUUGAGUUCAUUAGGCCAAUCUUAAGAUGAAGAAAAUUUCGAUGCCAUAGUUGUGCAUAAUGUUUUCUUUUCGUUAAUUAUUUUCUUCUGCAAGAUGACACCAAACUCGACAGCUUGUGCAUCGAAAGCUUUGUUGUGGUUUUCGUUUUUGGAUAUAAAGUAUCGGAUCAGGUUGAACCGGGUAUAUGCUAAGCUAAACUAUGGCGUAAGCUGGAAUUACCACUGUGGCUUCUGGAGUUGCAAAGGGUAAUGCUUAUAUCAUACAGGUACUCGAUUCAGUUAUGUCAAUGGGUGGGUUGGUAAGUAAAUGUGCUAAGAUGUGUUAGGUCUGGUCGGGUCGGGUCGAGUUGACCUCAAUUAGGGAGUGUCAAAGCAGGUACUUAAUUAGGGCAUUUCAGCUUUGGUUUGAAUUGUUGGGUCAUUUCUUGUUGCGGAUUACUCAUGGACUCAUGGUAAAUCAGUACCCUCCUCCCCCGGCCCUCAUUUCAUUAAUUUACAAAAAAAAAAAAUUCUAUUUACAUAUAGUGGAUACGGUAUUAGAGAAUGAUUGCUGGUGAUCUGCAAAAUAUGGUGGUACUAAAAAGUUGUAAAACACUUUAUUGGUGAUCUGCAAAAUAUAGGUAAGGUGUAGAAAGAUGGAAAGGUUAAGUGAUAGUUCUGCUAUAAUGAUUGUACGUGACGCGUUUAAAUCUGUACAGUUGAAGACAUAUUCGCACAUUUCUGUUUUUAAGCUCAUGUUUCCUAGGCUUACUUUCUUACGUCUGUGCAGUGCCCCGAUUCAAGAGGAGAUCGGGUUUCUACCCCCUUCUUUGACUAGGUACAUGCGUUUAUAGUGCUCAAUAUUGGUGAGUUCUUUAACUUUUGCAUUGGCUCAUUUCAAUAUGCAGAGAAUGUUACGACUUGUGUUUCUUGGGAUGGUAAUGCGAACGGUUUAUGCGUAGUCAAGAAACUUACCGUCAUAUAUGCUCUUACACAGCCUUUGGAAUGCCUUUGUGAUCAUAGAUCUUAUGACGUAGUUUGUUCCUUACGUCUCAUUUUGCCAAUUUAUUUUUCUACUUUUGUACAAAAAUAAUGUUUGGGAUUAAUAAUUGAUACGUAUUUUUUUAUUUCAGUACAGAGGAUAACAUCAUCGUCUUGUAGCAUUAGAACUAAACCAGAUUGUCUCUAGGUUAGUUUGAUACAAAAAUAUUGUCAUUUGUUUAUGGAUCACAAUGUAAAUUUCCAGCACUA